Molecule: transfer RNA, 74 nt
Filed under: archaeon BMS3Bbin15
Lineage: Archaea
Description: tRNA-Gly
Rfam family: tRNA
About the family: Transfer RNA (tRNA) molecules are approximately 80 nucleotides in length. Their secondary structure includes four short double-helical elements and three loops (D, anti-codon, and T loops). Further hydrogen bonds mediate the characteristic L-shaped molecular structure. tRNAs have two regions of fundamental functional importance: the anti-codon, which is responsible for specific mRNA codon recognition, and the 3' end, to which the tRNAs corresponding amino acid is attached (by aminoacyl-tRNA synthetases). tRNAs cope with the degeneracy of the genetic code in two manners: having more than one tRNA (with a specific anti-codon) for a particular amino acid; and 'wobble' base-pairing, i.e. permitting non-standard base-pairing at the 3rd anti-codon position.
Source: RNAcentral
UGUGGGCAUAGUCUAGGGGUCAGGACAGGGGCUUCCCAAGCCUCUGGCGCGGGUUCGAAUCCCGCUGCCCGCAU